AUGCAAGGUUAAGCAGCGAAUGUGGAGCCGUAGCGAAAGCGAGUCUGAAUAGGGCGUUGAGUAUUUGGUCGUAGACCCGAAACCAGGUGAUCUACCCUUGGUCAGGUUGAAGUUCAGGUAACACUGAAUGGAGGACCGAACCGACUUACGUUGAAAAGUGAGCGGAUGAACUGAGGGUAGCGGAGAAAUUCCAAUCGAACUUGGAGAUAGCUGGUUCUCUCCGAAAUAGCUUUAGGGCUAGCCUCAAGUGAUGAUUAUUGGAGGUAGAGCACUGUUUGGACGAGGGGCCCCUCUCGGGUUACCGAAUUCAGACAAACUCCGAAUGCCAAUCAAUUUAACUUGGGAGUCAGAACAUGGGUGAUAAGGUCCGUGUUCGAAAGGGAAACAGCCCAGACCACCAGCUAAGGUCCCAAAAUAUAUGUUAAGUGGAAAAGGAUGUGGCGUUGCCCAGACAACUAGGAUGUUGGCUUAGAAGCAGCCAUCAUUUAAAGAGUGCGUAAUAGCUCACUAGUCGAGUGACACUGCGCCGAAAAUGUACCGGGGCUAAACAUAUUACCGAAGCUGUGGAUUGUCCUUCGGACAAUGGUAGGAGAGCGUUCUAAGGGCGUUGAAGCAUGAUCGCAAGGACAUGUGGAGCGCUUAGAAGUGAGAAUGCCGGUGUGAGUAGCGAAAGACGGGUGAGAAUCCCGUCCACCGAUUGAC
This 702-nucleotide ribosomal RNA is filed under the name Staphylococcus capitis. RNAcentral describes it as "bacterial LSU rRNA". It matches the Rfam family "Bacterial large subunit ribosomal RNA", at positions 638 to 1345 of the family's 2925-position model. Lineage: Bacteria; Bacillati; Bacillota; Bacilli; Caryophanales; Staphylococcaceae. The record is from RNAcentral.